Molecule: transfer-messenger RNA, 351 nt
Filed under: Spirochaetia
Lineage: Bacteria; Pseudomonadati; Spirochaetota
Also listed under: 1 other name
Description: JACKPD01 sp024233785 Standard tmRNA
Rfam family: transfer-messenger RNA
About the family: Bacterial tmRNA, also known as 10Sa RNA or SsrA, is named for its dual tRNA and mRNA-like properties. Its role is to liberate the mRNA from a stalled ribosome.
Source: RNAcentral
GGGGGUGAAAUGGUUUCGACUGGGGAUUUUUCGGAUCAUAGGCAGCAGGUGGAGAGCCGUCUCCUUAAACAGGCAAAAAACAUAACUGCUAACGACGCAGAAUACGCAUUAGCAGCUUAAUUUAGCUGCUACGGACACCCAGGAUGCUGUUCCUAAGCCUGGAAUUGUUUGUAAGAAAUAGGGACUUGCCGGUAUUUAUGUUCUGCUGUAUACCGGGACACAAAGCAGACUAAGGGGGAAGCAAGGUUUGUUACCGCGCCGAACUUUUCCUGAAAUCAAGCGGUGACUAUGCCUGUAGAAGUUUAUGGGCCUGUCUUCAGGACGGGGGUUCGACUCCCCCCACCUCCAAUA